GUUCNCNAGACNCCGGNGCCNNCUGACUGCCCUCGANCGAGAAGCUACCUUCUGAUUCCUUCGGGAUGAUGAAGUUGGUACGACAGUGGCAGAACGGGUGAGUAACGCGUGGGUAAUCUACCCUGUAAGUGGGGGAUAACCCUCCGAAAGGAGGGCUAAUACCGCAUAAUAUCUUUACUUCUCAAGAAGAAAAGAUUAAAGAUGGCCUNUAUACUAUGCUAUCACUUGAGGAUGANCCCGCGUCCUAUUANUUAUUUGGUGGGGUAAUGGCCUACCAAGACCNCAAUGGGUAGCCGGUCUGAGAGGAUGUACGGCCACACUGGGACUGAGAUACGGCCCANACUCCUACGGGAGGCAGCAGUGGGGAAUAUUGCGCAAUGGGGGAAACCCUGACGCAGCGACGCCGCGUGGAUGAUNAAGGCCUUUGNGUUGUAAAAUCCUGUUUUGGGGGAAGAAAGCUUAAGAGUUCANNAACCCUUAACCUGCGGNCCCCAAANAAANCUCCGGNUANUAUGUGC
Molecule: ribosomal RNA, 518 nt
Filed under: uncultured bacterium
Lineage: Bacteria
Description: partial 16S ribosomal RNA
Rfam family: Bacterial small subunit ribosomal RNA
Source: RNAcentral